GAUGAACGCUGGCGGCGUGCCUAAUACAUGCAAGUCGAGCGAACAGAUGAGGAGCUUGCUCCUCUGACGUUAGCGGCGGACGGGUGAGUAACACGUGGAUAACCUACCUAUAAGACUGGGAUAACUUCGGGAAACCGGAGCUAAUACCGGAUAAUAUAUUGAACCGCAUGGUUCAAUAGUGAAAGACGGUUUUGCUGUCACUUAUAGAUGGAUCCGCGCCGCAUUAGCUAGUUGGUAAGGUAACGGCUUACCAAGGCAACGAUGCGUAGCCGACCUGAGAGGGUGAUCGGCCACACUGGAACUGAGACACGCUCCAGACGCCUACGGGAGGCAGCAGUAGGGAAUCUUCCGCAGUAGGCGAAAGCCUGACGGAGCAACGCCGCGUGAGUGAUAAAGGUCUUCGGAUCGUAAAACUCUGUUAUUAGUGAAGAACAAAUGUGUAAGUAACUGUACACGUCUUGACGGUACCUAAUCAGAAAGCCACGGCUAACUACGUG
RNAcentral lists this ribosomal RNA (497 nucleotides) under uncultured bacterium. RNAcentral's name for it is "partial 16S ribosomal RNA". It matches the Rfam family "Bacterial small subunit ribosomal RNA", at positions 28 to 507 of the family's 1533-position model. The record is from RNAcentral.